AACGCACAUUGCGCCCGCCAGUAUUCUGGCGGGCAUGCCUGUUCGAGCGUCAUUUCAACCAUCAAGCCCCAGGCUUGUGUUGGAGCCCUGCGGCUGCCGCAGCCUCCUAAAAGCAGUGGCGGGCUCGCUAUCACACCGAGUGCAGUAGUUUACUCUUCGCUCAGGGCGUGUGGCGGGUUCCAGCCGUUAAACCCCCUACUUUUACAAGGUUGACCUCGGAUCAGGUAGGAAUACCCGCUGAACUUAA
RNAcentral lists this unclassified non-coding RNA (247 nucleotides) under Cercophora sp. RNAcentral describes it as "partial contains 5.8S ribosomal RNA, internal transcribed spacer 2, and large subunit ribosomal RNA". The stretch from base 1 to 52 matches the Rfam family "5.8S ribosomal RNA", at positions 103 to 154 of the family's 154-position model. RNAcentral also lists the same sequence under 2 other names. The record is from RNAcentral. Lineage: Eukaryota; Fungi; Ascomycota; Sordariomycetes; Sordariales; Lasiosphaeriaceae.